RNAcentral lists this ribosomal RNA (546 nucleotides) under uncultured bacterium. RNAcentral's name for it is "bacterial SSU rRNA". It matches the Rfam family "Bacterial small subunit ribosomal RNA", at positions 355 to 895 of the family's 1533-position model. The record is from RNAcentral.
UGGGGAAUAUUGCACAAUGGGCGCAAGCCUGAUGCAGCGACGCCGCGUGAGGGAUGAAGGCCUUCGGGUUGUAAACCUCUUUCGUCAGGGAACAAGGCGCUACUUUUUUGGUGGUGUUGAGGGUACCUGGAUAAGAAGCGCCGGCUAACUACGUGCCAGCAGCCGCGGUAAUACGUAGGGCGCAAGCGUUGUCCGGAAUUAUUGGGCGUAAAGAGCUCGUAGGCGGCUGGUCGCGUCUGUCGUGAAAACUUCCGGCUCAACCGGGGGCUUGCGGUGGGUACGGGCCGGCUAGAGUGCGGUAGGGGUAACUGGAACUCCUGGUGUAGCGGUGGAAUGCGCAGAUAUCAGGAAGAACACCGAUGGCGAAGGCAGGUUACUGGGCCGUUACUGACGCUGAGGAGCGAAAGCGUGGGGAGCGAACAGGAUUAGAUACCCUGGUAGUCCACGCUGUAAACGUUGGGCACUAGGUGUGAGGCUCCUUUCCGGGGGUUUUGCGCCGUAGCUAACGCAUUAAGUGCCCCGCCUGGGGAGUACGGCCGCAAGGCU